Molecule: ribosomal RNA, 513 nt
Filed under: uncultured bacterium
Lineage: Bacteria
Description: bacterial SSU rRNA
Rfam family: Bacterial small subunit ribosomal RNA
Source: RNAcentral
GAUUAUGGCUCAGGAUGAACGCUAGCUACAGGCUUAACACAUGCAAGUCGAGGGGCAGCAUGAUCAAAGCUUGCUUGAUUGAUGGCGACCGGCGCACGGGUGAGUAACGCGUAUCCAACCUUCCCUAUAGUAGUGGAUAGCCCGGCGAAAGUCGGAUUAAUACACUAUGUUGUAUUUAGAGGACAUCUGAAGAAUACCAAAGGUUUACCGCUAUAGGAUGGGGAUGCGUCUGAUUAGAUAGUAGGCGGGGCAACGGCCCACCUAGUCGACGAUCAGUAGGGGUUCUGAGAGGAAGGUCCCCCACAUUGGAACUGAGACACGGUCCAAACUCCUACGGGAGGCAGCAGUGAGGAAUAUUGGUCAAUGGACGGGAGUCUGAACCAGCCAAGUAGCGUGCAGGAUGACGGCCCUAUGGGUUGUAAACUGCUUUUAUACGGGGAUAAAGUGAGCCACGUGUGGCUUUUUGUAGGUACCGUAUGAAUAAGGACCGGCUAAUUCCGUGCCAGCAGCAGC